Oreochromis aureus is the source of this 645-nucleotide long non-coding RNA. RefSeq lists it as uncharacterized. The transcript is spliced from 3 exons. The record is from RefSeq and is a predicted model, not a curated record. NCBI's taxonomy places the organism in Eukaryota, Metazoa, Chordata, Actinopteri, Cichliformes, Cichlidae.
AUAUGGGUAGUCUAAAGCAGGCAUAAAAACAUAGAAGGAAAUACUUGGGCACUAAUCUCUAUCUUCCAGCAGUCCCUGUGCAGACUGUUAGCUUCAUUAGCCUCCAUGUUGCUUUGUUGUGAUGGGAGUGUGUGACCUGCAAAGAUUGUGAGAAGAAUCGCUCCAGCUUGCUCAAAUCUGGGUUCAGAUGUCCACUACAAGACAAAAAAAAUGACCUAAAGGGCAAAAGCACCCAAAAGAAACCAGUGUGAGAUGUUUUGUUACCUCCAGACACGGGAGGUGAGGGUGCUGCUGGGUGCAGCACGUAGGAGGCAGACCAGCUCAAAUGCAAAUGGAUGGACUUUGGCGGGUUAAAGACUGUUCCAUCUGACUGCACCUGCUCAUUUCAUCCAUUGGGCAAUGACAUUGUCAAAGUUCAAGUCCGGAUGUUUGAAAACAGAUAAUUCAGUCUCUAAAGGUUUAUUUUUAAUUUUAUUUUAUUAUUAAAACAACUCCCAAAAUCCAUCAAGAACAUGGAGCGAGUGGGAAAUUUGGUAAAUGGACGGGUUCAUUAUAUGGCACGCUUUUCUAAAGAGUGCUUUCUGUCUAACAUUCACUCGCCGAUGAACAAAGAAUAUAUUUAUAUACGAGCCUUGUUUGGAAUAA